GGGCCCGCACAAGCGGCGGAGCAUGCGGAUUAAUUCGAUGCAACGCGAAGAACCUUACCAAGGCUUGACAUAUAGAGGAAAAGUGCAGAAAUGUACUCCCCGCAAGGUCUCUAUACAGGUGGUGCAUGGUUGUCGUCAGCUCGUGUCGUGAGAUGUUGGGUUAAGUCCCGCAACGAGCGCAACCCUCGUCCUAUGUUGCCAGCACGUAAUGGUGGGAACUCAUGGGAUACUGCCGGGGUCAACUCGGAGGAAGGUGGGGAUGACGUCAAAUCAUCAUGCCCCUUAUGUCUUGGGCUUCACGCAUGCUACAAUGGCCGGUACAGAGGGCUGGUGAUUGGGAUGAAGUCGUAACA
Molecule: ribosomal RNA, 353 nt
Filed under: uncultured bacterium
Lineage: Bacteria
Description: bacterial SSU rRNA
Rfam family: Bacterial small subunit ribosomal RNA
Source: RNAcentral